UAAUACGGAGGGUGCAAGCGUUAUCCGGAUUUACUGGGUUUAAAGGGUGCGUAGGCGGGCUUUUAAGUCAGCGGUGAAAUCUCUGGGCUCAACCCAGAAAUUGCCGUUGAUACUAUUAGUCUUGAAUAAUGUUGAGGUGGGCGGAAUGUGUCAUGUAGCGGUGAAAUGCUUAGAUAUGACACAGAACACCGAUUGCGAAGGCAGCUCGCUAAACAUUUAUUGACGCUGAGGCACGAAAGCGUGGGGAUCAAACAGGAUUAGAAACCCUGGUAGUCCACGCCCUAAACGAUGAUUACUCGAUCUUAGCGAUACACUGUUAGGGUCUAUGUGAAAACAUUAAGUAAUCCACCUGGGGAGUACGACCGCAAGGUUG
Molecule: ribosomal RNA, 373 nt
Filed under: uncultured bacterium
Lineage: Bacteria
Description: bacterial SSU rRNA
Rfam family: Bacterial small subunit ribosomal RNA
Source: RNAcentral